GAUAAAAGGGUAGAACAAUUGCGGAACCAGAAUUUAAACAACAAAGCAAGGUAAAAGCGGAAGCAAGCAAAAACUAUAUACAUAAAAGAUCCCUCCCAAAUUAUGAAAGUCACAAGUACAGAGUUGUUCUAACAAAAGAAUACAAGUCCCAAAAGUAGUUCAAUAGCAAGCUUGUCUCAAAAUACAAAAAACUAGAUAUACAAUAUACAAAGGAGACAUGCUAGUCUAGAACGUCGAGUGCUCACCCUCACCUUCGAUCCACAAAAGUUGUUGCAGGCAUGAACGGUCAUCACUGGUAACUGGUACUAGGGCCUGCAUCACGAAACAGAUGCACAAUGUAGCAUGAGUACCAAAACAAAGGUACUUAGUAGGCAUCAUAGGUUGACUGAGAAAGAAAGGUAAAAGACAAUAUGAAAAUAUAGAAUCUAAACACAAAUAGAGGUCAAAGCAAAAUUUAAGGAAAAGCACACGAGCGUACCAGAAAUAAAAACUAAGUACAACUAAGCUAAACCUAACUGGACCCCCAUAAGCCUAGAAGGUACACUCGUGCGCAAGUUUAAGUAAAACCCGAACGGACCUCCAUAAGACCAACAUGUACACAGAAUAGCUAGCUAAUAAGACUGAAGCAUGGUGAAUCCAUGUCCAAUAAGUGAAAACUUGCCUCUAACCACAAGUACCCAAUGAAAAGGGCCGCCUAGCAAGCUAGUAAACUCCUACGGACUUCAGCUGCCUAGCUAGCAAGAGUUAACCCAAGGGAGUCAAUAAUACCAAACCUCUUACCCUAAGUAACCAAUCAAGGCCACCCAGCCAACCAGUAAAAUCUCAGGGCAUCAACCGCCUAGCUAGCAGAGUAAACCCGGGAGGGGGGGGGGUGUCGCCUCCAAAAGAGGAUCUCAUCAACACCAACAACAAUAACACUAUUGAACGACGUCCACUCGCAAGCAACCCGCAACAACGCUCCAAGCUCGAACCAACUCCAAUCUCAAGUUGUCCAGUGAAGCGCCAAGCUUCAAAUAUCGUAACGGGGGCGUAGAAAGAGAGAGAGAGGGCAAAAGGUCGCCAAAGUAGGGACACCGCAUAAAAUAAGGCUCAUUUUAUCAGAGUUAAGUCUGCUACACUAACAUACAAGGAACUAAGUCAUCCAAAUCGAUGCCGGAGAAGAAACAAGGCCUAGACACUAUAAAUGUCGCGAGUCUAUGGAAAGAACUAGUCUAAGCCUAUACUAAGGCCAAAGAUGCUCAAUUAUACAAUCACAACAACAUACAAGUCAAAACACAAGAUAAGGAUAAACACAUAACCCCAGCUAGCAUGGUUCUAAUCCCGAAAUAAUGUCAAUCAAGCCUAAAACAUGGUUUCUAUGAAAUGAAAUAAGAACAACUAGGUACCCGCCCAAAUUGACUCUAGUCAACAUAUGUUCACACAUUCAAGCUCAAUCUAGGAGACGGAAAGUCAUAGCCUACCUUAAGGAUGACCGCACGUGCUCCAAAUCACAUGUCCCGAGCUUUUCCUUUACGAACAACCUCAGAAUGCAGCCCCGCUAUUAAAAAUAGGAUCACAAUGUUAAUACGAUCGUUUAGACACCAAAACCAUAUAAAACAAAGACGGAUCAAUUUUGGAAUCAAACGGAAAUCAUGGGACCAAUGCCAGAACUUCUGGAUCGACUCAGUCAAAAGGUCUUAAAUAGUACCCCAAACUUGUGUUCCAAAAUGGAACACAAUUCGGACCUCGAAACAACAAGAACAAACAACAUGCGACAAUUUCACCAUUAAAGACAACAACUAAGCUAAGGUACCCUACAAUUGCACGAAUUUACCUCAAAUGAGAGACGCCUAACACUUUUUUAUCACACCACUGCAUAGA
RNAcentral lists this long non-coding RNA (1860 nucleotides) under Solanum tuberosum (potato). RNAcentral's name for it is "long non-coding RNA (STUB_LNC005632)". The record is from RNAcentral. Lineage: Eukaryota; Viridiplantae; Streptophyta; Magnoliopsida; Solanales; Solanaceae.